UGGGGGAUAUUGCACAAUGGGCGAAAGCCUGAUGCAGCGACGCUGCGUGGGGGAUGAAGGCUUUCGGGUUGUAAACCUCUUUCGCUAUCGAACAAGGCCCGCUUAGGGUGGGUUGAGGGUAGGUGGAGAAGAAGCGCCGGCUAACUACGUGCCAGCAGCCGCGGUAAUACGUAGGGCGCGAGCGUUGUCCGGAAUUAUUGGGCGUACAGGGCUUGUAGGCGGCGUGUUGCGCCUGCUGUGAAAACGCGGGGCUUAACUUCGCGCGUGAAGUGGGUACGGGCAGGCUUGAGUGUGGUAGGGGUGACUGGAAUUCCAGGUGUAGCGGUGGGAUGCGCAGAUAUCUGGAGGAACGCCGAUGGCGAAGGAAGGUCACUGGGCCAUUACUGACGCUGAGGAGCGAAAGCAUGGGUAGCGAACAGG
RNAcentral lists this ribosomal RNA (420 nucleotides) under bacterium. RNAcentral describes it as "partial 16S ribosomal RNA". It matches the Rfam family "Bacterial small subunit ribosomal RNA", at positions 355 to 776 of the family's 1533-position model. The record is from RNAcentral.